CCAAGACAUAAAUCCUUCAUUGAAUAUCAAUUAGAGCUUUGGUUGAGAAGGAAGAUAAACUGAGAACAGUUAGUGAAUAUUAAUUGCAAGAAAUCAAUCACAGAUCUUGCUUUACAGGAAACAAUCAGCUACCUAACCCACCAAAGAAAGGGGGAAACAUCUAUAGCUAUUCAAGAAGAUCAACCAAAGAAACUAAAAAAAAUUUUACCUAUAAAUAGAAAAUGCAGAAGUGUAAAAGAAAUGUUUUUCCUCUAGUCCUCGAUUUUAAGGUACAAGAAAGAAAACAUAAAAAAUUGAAGUUAAAGAGGAGAAAAAGUACACUCAAGAUGGAGAAUGUUUCUGUAAAUGGAA
This 351-nucleotide unclassified non-coding RNA is filed under the name Hevea brasiliensis (rubber tree). The record is from RNAcentral. Lineage: Eukaryota; Viridiplantae; Streptophyta; Magnoliopsida; Malpighiales; Euphorbiaceae.